CCCGAGCCCGCACCGCCCGGGUGCGCACCGGGUGUCCCGAGCCCCGAGCGGGCUGCCCCCUUCUUCAGCCCACGUCCCGCCUAGAGAAAUAACGCCCUGGUCGCGGCUGGCCUCAGGAAUGCCGCUCGUCCUCCACGUGCACGCAACGGCAUGUCGGAACAUUCACCUCCAGAUGCUGAAAUUGGAUUAAAAUCAACGGCACGAGGAAUUACAGAUUGUUCCUUUUCGGAUUAUGUUUUUAAUCCCCCGCGGCAGCAGCAGUAAACCUUGGAAACUUCUCUACUGCUGACGAACAAGUCCCAGUGAAAUCCCUGUGGACGUGCAGUUUGGCAAAAUGGAAACGGCCCAAAGAAUGUAAAGCAUUUGCUUUUACACCUACCAAAGGCUCCCUGUUCAGCACUGCUUCACCUUGGUUCAGGUGGGUUUGGGGACUUUUUUAUUGUUUGGGUGAGGGUUUUUUUUAGUAACUUUUUCUCAAACCCAGAACACAUUGGUACCCUAGAGAUGGAACUACCCCUACAGAAGAGGAGCAGCUCCCAUCAGCGACUCAAAUACGUGGUCCCAAAGGGGGACGUGUGUGAUGAGGGAGGCUGUGCUGACAGGCCAGAGGUGCACGGACUUGCUGAAGGAUUCGAAGGGAGAUUUAGGCAGGAAAUGAGCAGAUGUGUUUGAACGGCACAAGAAGCAAGCAUACGGGACUUUGUGUAGCCAGGGAGGCAUCAUUAGCAGCUGGACAUUUUUUCACAGGCAGAGAGGCAGAAGCCAGGGGCACCUCCUCUCACAGGGUUUUACACGGCGAGUGGCACGGGUGAGACCUCCCCAGGAAGGAAUAACUAGGGCAACAUCCUUUAAAAAAGUACCUAAUGUGGAUCGGCAAUGUUGACAUUCUUUAAGGAUGAUUCCCCAAGGAUGAAGAACGGUUUUCUGGAGAGUGAUGCCUAUAACGAAUUCACUCUCACCCUUUAUUAUUUGUGAUCUAUUUCUUGACCAUCGGCUUCCAGAUGCUGGCUCUCACCCCGUCUGUCCACAUCAGAGACCUGUGGGUCUCUCCAUGGAACUGCCUUACUCUCUGUCACCAAGUUACCUCCUUAAUAAAAAGGUUUUCUAAGUCCAAGACAAGUUGGUACAUUUACAUGUACCACGAUGAAAACCAAGGCAAUCACUUUUCUUUCUAUUUCAAGGGAAGACACAGAGAAUUUGAACCAGAAAAGAUCAAAAUGCUAUUGCUGUUCUAACAUAUGGCCUAUGUUUGGGAUUCCUGAAGGCCUUUUCCUCUAAAAAGCACAGCCUAAGAGUUGUUUACUUGUAAAGUGCUAUAAAACAAACCUGAGUUCAAACACAACAAAUGAAUUGUCAGAUAGACUGCCACUGAAAGUUGUGUGUAGUUUUAUUUCAACAUAUCAAGCACAAACAGAUUUCCCCUAACUGGGGAAUAUGAUGAGGAAUGUACUUAAAAAUUUGGAAACAUUUACAUUGAAAGAUAGCCCAGACUGGCACCACCACUAAGUAUUUUAAGGCUGUAUAUAUAGCAGUACUUACCACUUGGAACUACUUCAGGCCAGAAAAGAAAGGCUUAGUAUUGUCUGCAGUCUACAGAAAAUAUUGCAAAUCUUUAAAAAAUGGUGUAAAAUAGGAAGACUAUCAAUAGAGUUGAACAAUGCAGUGGCAAAACCCUUCCUCCUUUCUGACCUUCGACAAUAAACAUGCCUAAGAC
Falco peregrinus (peregrine falcon) is the source of this 1714-nucleotide long non-coding RNA. RefSeq lists it as uncharacterized. The record is from RefSeq and is a predicted model, not a curated record. NCBI's taxonomy places the organism in Eukaryota, Metazoa, Chordata, Aves, Falconiformes, Falconidae. The transcript has 2 exons.